CUUAAUAACAGACCCAGGGGUGCUCAAGCGCGAGCGAGGGCUUAAAGGGAAGGCAAGCCGGUGAGAAUCCGGCACAGUACCGCCUACUGUGACCCCGAACAAUUUCGGGGAAGUCAGAACGCCAGCCCCUGGAUUUCCUGUAGC
RNAcentral lists this non-coding RNA (144 nucleotides) under Dehalococcoidia bacterium. The record is from RNAcentral. Lineage: Bacteria; Bacillati; Chloroflexota; Dehalococcoidia.